Molecule: ribosomal RNA, 585 nt
Filed under: uncultured bacterium
Lineage: Bacteria
Description: partial 16S ribosomal RNA
Rfam family: Bacterial small subunit ribosomal RNA
Source: RNAcentral
UGGGGAAUUUUGGACAAUGGGGGAAAGCCUGAUCCAGCAAUGCCGCGUGUGUGAAGAAGGCCUUCGGGUUGUAAAGCACUUUUGUCCGGAAAGAAAUCCUUGGCUCUAAUACAGUCGGGGGAUGACGGUACCGGAAGAAUAAGCACCGGCUAACUACGUGCCAGCAGCCGCGGUAAUACGUAGGGUGCAAGCGUUAAUCGGAAUUACUGGGCGUAAAGCGUGCGCAGGCGGUUUGCUAAGACCGAUGUGAAAUCCCCGGGCUCAACCUGGGAACUGCAUUGGUGACUGGCAGGCUAGAGUAUGGCAGAGGGGGGUAGAAUUCCACGUGUAGCAGUGAAAUGCGUAGAGAUGUGGAGGAAUACCGAUGGCGAAGGCAGCCCCCUGGGCCAAUACUGACGCUCAUGCACGAAAGCGUGGGGAGCAAACAGGAUUAGGUACCCUGGUAGUCCACGCCCUAAACGAUGUCAACUAGUUGUUGGGGAUUCAUUUCCUUAGUAACGUAGCUAACGCGUGAAGUUGACCGCCUGGGGAGUACGGUCGCAAGAUUAAAACUCAAAUGAAUUGACGGGGUCAUAGCUGUUUCCU